This 521-nucleotide long non-coding RNA is filed under the name Homo sapiens (human). Its description in RNAcentral is "non-protein coding lnc-ERC2-3:1". Lineage: Eukaryota; Metazoa; Chordata; Mammalia; Primates; Hominidae. The record is from RNAcentral.
UCAAGUGCAAGAAGUGCACGGAGAUCGUGGACCAGUUUGUGUGCAAGUAGUGGGUGCCACCCAGCACUCAGCCCCGCUCCCAGGACCCGCUUAUUUAUAGAAAGUACAGUGAUUCUGGUUUUUGGUUUUUAGAAAUAUUUUUUAUUUUUCCCCAAGAAUUGCAACCGGAACCAUUUUUUUUCCUGUUACCAUCUAAGAACUCUGUGGUUUAUUAUUAAUAUUAUAAUUAUUAUUUGGCAAUAAUGGGGGUGGGAACCAAGAAAAAUAUUUAUUUUGUGGAUCUUUGAAAAGGUCUUGGGAAAACAAAACAAAACAAAACAAACCUCCCUUCCCCAGCAGGGCUGCUAGCUUGCUUUCUGCAUUUUCAAAAUGAUAAUUUACAAUGGAAGGACAAGAAUGUCAUAUUCUCAAGGAAAAAAGGUAUAUCACAUGUCUCAUUCUCCUCAAAUAUUCCAUUUGCAGACAGACCGUCAUAUUCUAAUAGCUCAUGAAAUUUGGGCAGCAGGGAGGAAAGUCCCCAG